GAGGUGGCUGCCUGGGAUGUCCUCCUCCAGGACAUCGCCCUGCUACCUAUGGACGUGGCCGAUUCUCCGGACACCAUCUCCUGGCGCCUAGACCCCUCCGGCCGCUUCUCCACCAAAUCCCUCUACGCGGCCAUUGCCCCUUCGUCAGCCCCGGAGCCCUUUGGUCUUAUCCGGGACAUCCGCCUCCCACUUAAGAUUCAGAUCUUUAUUUGGCAAUGGAUCCGCGGCCGCCUCCCGACCGGCGUUGAGGUUCUUAAGCGCCAUGGUCCUGGCGAUGGAAUGUGCCCCCUGUGUGGCACAGUAGAGGACGCUAAUCACAUCUUCUUCUUGUGCUACACGGCAUAG
RNAcentral lists this ribosomal RNA (345 nucleotides) under Triticum aestivum (bread wheat). RNAcentral describes it as "partial small subunit ribosomal RNA". Lineage: Eukaryota; Viridiplantae; Streptophyta; Magnoliopsida; Poales; Poaceae. The record is from RNAcentral.